GACGAACGCUGGCGGCGUGCCUAAUACAUGCAAGUCGAGCGGACUGAAUGGGAGCUUGCUCUUGUUCGGUCAGCGGCGGACGGGUGAGUAACACGUGGGCAACCUGCCCGCAAGACCGGGAUAACUCCGGGAAACCGGAGCUAAUACCGGAUAACACCGAAGACCGCAUGGUCUUUGGUUGAAAGGCGGCGCAAGCUGCCACUUGCGGAUGGGCCCGCGGCGCAUUAGCUAGUUGGUGAGGUAACGGCUCACCAAGGCGACGAUGCGUAGCCGGCCUGAGAGGGUGACCGGCCACCCUGGGACUGAGACACGGCCCAGACUCCUACGGGAGGCAGCAGUAGGGAAUCUUCCGCAAUGGGCGAAAGCCUGACGGAGCGACGCCGCGUGAGCGAAGAAGGCCUUCGGGUCGUAAAGCUCUGUUGUGAGGGACGAAGGAGCGCCGUUUGAAGAAGGCGGCGCGGUGACGGUACCUCACGAGGAAGCCCCGGCUAACUACGUG
RNAcentral lists this ribosomal RNA (499 nucleotides) under uncultured bacterium. RNAcentral's name for it is "partial 16S ribosomal RNA". It matches the Rfam family "Bacterial small subunit ribosomal RNA", at positions 28 to 507 of the family's 1533-position model. The record is from RNAcentral.